UAUCGCCCAUCUCAAGCUUGC
Molecule: non-coding RNA, 21 nt
Filed under: Arabidopsis thaliana (thale cress)
Lineage: Eukaryota; Viridiplantae; Streptophyta; Magnoliopsida; Brassicales; Brassicaceae
Source: RNAcentral